Molecule: long non-coding RNA, 745 nt
Organism: Arabidopsis lyrata subsp. lyrata
Lineage: Eukaryota; Viridiplantae; Streptophyta; Magnoliopsida; Brassicales; Brassicaceae
Exons: 4
Source: RefSeq, a predicted model, not a curated record
GGUACUUGCGGUUGCGGUAGAGCUGCAUGUUCGUUUAGUUGCCGCAGCUACCUGCGGUAAGACGCUGCGUUCGGCGGCGAUAAUUUUUGGACGCUGAUUAAAUUCAGCGUCGAUGACUAAAAAGCUGCAUUAUAUGUGGUAAAUGACACAAAUACCCUUAUUAUUUUUGAGAAAUCACAAACAAACCAAGCGAUUCUCUUCUUCGAUUCCUCUGUCACUUCUCUUCUCUCAUCGACGAAUUGGUUUCUCCUCAGAUUUCUCCUAAAGUGUCCCCUCUUACUUGCAUCAGGGAACAAUACAAUCUCUAGCUACAUGGUUUAGAAUCGUUCUUCACUUUGCAGAACCAAAAGGUACCAAACUGUGAGCUUCUCUUAGUUAUAUUCUUUACUAACAUUAAGUUACAUUUAUGAGAAGAGACAAGCUGCACAAAUUAAGACCUAUACUUGUUGGAGUCUCUGCGGAUCUUCUUGUUUGCCAUAAAGUCUUUGCCAUUGACAAUCCUGUCGUUGCACUUCUUCAGGGUCAUGAGGAUUUAGUCAUGGAGUUUGCAAACGUUUUCAAGAGACCCACUGGUUCAUCAGGAUCAAAAUCUGAUAGAGAUAGAUGAGUACAUUAGAAGACUGUCUCUGCUUUAGUAUUGGAUGUUUGGAAUAUAAUGUUUGGAAUAAAAUUUUAUUUGUUGGGGACUUCUUUUACUAAUUACAUACCUAAAAUUAUGUAUAUUAUUUUCUCAAUUGGUUUGGAA